GUCUUCCCUGUUGUGACAGUCUCAGAGCCUACGUUCUUUCAAUGGCUGGGCUACAAGAUGGUGACAGGCUGCCCAACCUGACACAGCAAGAAGGCGGCCAUCUGCAAACCAGAAAGAGAGCCCUCACCAGGAACCGGAUCUGCUGGCACCUUGAUCUUGGACUUCCUAUCCUUUAGAGCUGUGAGAAAUGUCGCCCCCAGGUCAAUGGGAUAUUUGUUACAGCACCAGGUACUGCCUGAGAACUCUACCUUUAGGGAGCCUGCGUGCUGGGUCACUGGGGAGACAAUGAAGGUGCUUGACACCCAGUUUGAAUAUUGUGUCACUGCAAAGCUGACUGCUGUUGAAGGAUAGCCAGUGAGAGGUCAUGGCAAGCCAUCAGAAGAAGCAGAAGUCAUGAGCAUGCUGAAGCUAUGAGGCCAAGACAAAAUGUCACAUUGCCACAAGAAGAGGGACAAACAGGCAACAGGCAGAGCCCAUGGGAAUCAGUAAUCUCCUGCUGACACUGAGGCCUUGGGACUAACUCAGAUCCAGUACUACUCUCUUGGGACCUGUUCUGACUCCAGCUCCUGUCCUUGGGGUCCACUGAGAUCCCUGUAGCCUUGUAAUAAGCCCACAUUAUCAUAUUUCCCCUGCCGGCUCCACCCUAGAGCAUUUCCAACAAUUUCCAGUGCUUUUCCCCUUCUCAUACCACUGGGCCUUUGCACGUGCUCGUGCCUCCCCAACUUGCCCUGCCUUCUCCUUCACCCAGACAACUCCUACUAAAUCUCUCAGACUCCUCAGCUGUGUCCCUUCCUAGGGGAGGACUCUCUUCCCUCCAGUGAGCCCGGUGGUCCUCCCUGGGAUCCCCUGCUCCUUGUCUUCCCUGCCGUCCUUACUGCCAUCCUUGUUCUCUACUCAGAAGGAGGCAGAGGCUGGCCUGCCCCCAAUCCCCUGUAGACUGACCAGAUGAAUUGACCUGGGCUGGGCAGGGCAGGCGUGUUUGACCAGUUGUCUGGGCACCCCAUGGCUCAGUCAAGUUGACACAUAAAGUUCACCGCCCCAGGGCCCCUUCGUUGUAUUUGUGUAUGAAUAAAACACAGCAUCCACUCCAGGUAUCUGAGGGUCCUGGAGGCAGGUUUUGUGAUCCCUUUUUACAGAUGAGGAUGCGGAGGUCCAGUUGUCACUCACCCAGAUCACACUCUCAUCUGCUGAUGGGAGGAGUAUUUGAUGGGAUGUGUGAGCCCGGCCGUCUCCCUUGGGACACAUCAGCUCAUUAAAUUUGCCAGCCCCUGCCUGAAAAAGUAUUUAAUUUGCCUUUUACAAUGCACCCAUUGCAAGUUAAUUAACUGGCAAUUGAAAGUUAUAGGUGGCAUUAGAAUUUAUUAAUAACAUUGGGAAUAAAUCUCCCUGGAAUUCAAUUAACUGAAAA
Molecule: long non-coding RNA, 1408 nt
Filed under: Homo sapiens (human)
Lineage: Eukaryota; Metazoa; Chordata; Mammalia; Primates; Hominidae
Description: HSALNT0342390
Source: RNAcentral